This 514-nucleotide ribosomal RNA is filed under the name uncultured bacterium. RNAcentral describes it as "bacterial SSU rRNA". It matches the Rfam family "Bacterial small subunit ribosomal RNA", at positions 126 to 674 of the family's 1533-position model. The record is from RNAcentral.
CUACCUUUUGCUACGGAAUAACUCAGGGAAACUUGUGCUAAUACCGUAUGUGCCCUUCGGGGGAAAGAUUUAUCGGCAAAGGAUGAGCCCGCGUUGGAUUAGCUAGUUGGUGGGGUAAAGGCCCACCAAGGCGACGAUCCAUAGCUGGUCUGAGAGGAUGAUCAGCCACACUGGGACUGAGACACGGCCCAGACUCCUACGGGAGGCAGCAGUGGGGAAUAUUGGACAAUGGGCGCAAGCCUGAUCCAGCCAUGCCGCGUGAGUGAUGAAGGCCCUAGGGUUGUAAAGCUCUUUCACCGGUGAAGAUAAUGACGGUAACCGGAGAAGAAGCCCCGGCUAACUUCGUGCCAGCAGCCGCGGUAAUACGAAGGGGGCUAGCGUUGUUCGGAUUUACUGGGCGUAAAGCGCACGUAGGCGGACUUUUAAGUCAGGGGUGAAAUCCCAGAGCUCAACUCUGGAACUGCCUUUGAUACUGGAAGUCUUGAGUAUGGUAGAGGUGAGUGGAAUUCCGAGU